Long non-coding RNA from Rhea pennata, 2000 nucleotides. RefSeq lists it as uncharacterized. The record is from RefSeq and is a predicted model, not a curated record. NCBI's taxonomy places the organism in Eukaryota, Metazoa, Chordata, Aves, Rheiformes, Rheidae. The transcript is spliced from 5 exons.
GGGCGCAGAGGGCAGCCGCGACCGGGGCGAGCCCCGACUGCGCCGCGGGCUCGGGUGCUCUCCCUGCUCGCGGGCGUGGGAGGGAUUUACCCUGGUAUUCAAAGCGUCUCCCCCUCCUCCCCCCAGCCCGCUCCUUCUCCACAGCGCCGGCCGCGGCGGCCAGUUGAACGACGGCGCCUCCCCCGCCCUCACUCGGCGGGCGGGCGGCCCCGCCGCGUCCCGAGCCGAGGAGCCGCGGCUCCUCCUGAAACUCCGCCAGAGCCGUUUCAAACAACAAGGGCCGGGAGGGGGAAGGGAGCGAGGGAGAGGGACGGUGCUUCCGACAGGGAUCCUGGGAGCUGUAGUCCGCGGGCGGGAGCGGCCCCCGGCGGGCAGCCGGGCCGCGGGGACUGCGGCGGCGCGGCCGUUGGGCGGCCGUUAGGGGGCCGUUGGGGGCGCGCGCGGAGCGUUCGGCGGCGGCCGUUCGCCCCGCCGGACGGCGAGGAGGGAAAGGCAAAAGUGUGGGGUUCCUCCCCUCCCCCCAGCAGAUUUAUUUUCUGGCCAUGUGGAUUUGAGCGGUCUGUUUUGGGGGAGCGCAGAGCAUCCGCUGGACGUUCACGGGAGCUGAGGUGGGCGCGGAUUUGUUUCCAGCUCUGAAGGACGGGUCUGUGAAGCUAAUGGCCGAGUCUAGAAAAAGGAGAGGGAAGGACGAUUAUAUCAGUGAAAGAGAACGUCACGAAGAAAGGUUUUAUCUGCUCAGCAUCUCACAGUUCUAAAAGAUCUUGGAUACGCUGAUCUAAUUUUACAGAAGCUGGAUGUGUUGACAGCAUUUCCUUUGAAUAUGGAAGAAAUCAGUGAUCCAAACAGAAUCCUCAAGAAAAAUAGAAUGAAAGGUACAAACACAGAAAUCUGUGGUAGCCUAUCAUUAACUCACUUCCUCAGAGUGUGGGAACACUGAGUUUUGAUCUCUGCUUAUCUGACACUGAGUAGAGUUUGAAUCUGCCUCUGCUUUCCAGUUCCCAAGAGAAUGGUCAGAUGAACCUAUUACCACAUUAAGAGAGCAUGGGCAUAUCUCACAUAGCAUCCAGCAGAAGAAUGCCUAAAAGAAUCAUUCCUUCUCUCCCCUGAUGAAGUAAAUGUUGCAGAAAGAAAGAUGAUCUACACAACGGCAUCCUCACACUGCUUUUUUUCCACUAGGACAGAACAAAGGACCUUGGGAGUGUGGAUUAUGAGAAGUUAAUGUUACUGACAAAGAAGAAAAUUGAAUAAUCUGAAAUGUGGUGCUGGCAAGUAUCCUUCUAUGACUUCUGGAUAGAGAAGUAGAAGAAUGUUGCUGUUAGCAACCCUACUAGAAAAAGACAGACUUUUUCCAGAAGUGAGCAGAUACAGACAUAUACUUUGAUUAUAUCAAACAUAGCAAUUGAAAUAACUAUGGAGAGCUUAUCAUAGCCAGGUGCGAGAAGACAACCAGUAGAGAAGUGAAAGCAGUACAUUUAGUAAAGGUUAUUAUUGGAAAUAUUUUUGCAGCUCACAUAGCAAUAUACUACAGAAAGAGCAAAAAAAAGUCUGAGUAAUACAAAAGGAAAAAUAAUCCAUUAUGAAAAAUAGAUUUGAAAGUGAACAUAAAGAAUGCAGUGAAUUUCCAGGUACUGUAAAUAAACAUACAUUGUCACAAUAUUGUUAUCAGCAGACUCAUCUCAGGUUGGCAUGGGGGCAAGUAUCAUUCCAUAAAGAGAAGUGCAUAGGAAUUUUGGUCAGUCAAAUUUACAUUGUGUAUUAAAUUGACUUUUGUAUUUUUAGAAAGAUUUUUUUAAUCUUCUUUUCCUUCAGAAGGUGGUUAACCUAAUAAAAUUUGCCUAACAAUAUGUUAGCUAGCCUGUAUAAUUAAACUACUUAUAUGGGUGGUCUUUUAGGGUCUGAGAGGCCACCUUAUUGAUAUUUUGUGUAAUAGUUAUGCUAGGUUCUGGUAACUACUGGCUAUCUUAAACUGUAUAUAUUUGUGGAAGUAAACUGAGCAUAUG